AAACAUCGCCUCUUGUCAAUUACACAUAAGAGGUCCCGCCUGCCCUGUGACCCCUAGUUCAACGGCCGCGGUAUUUUGACCGUGCAAAGGUAGCGCAAUCACUUGUCUCUUAAAUGAGGACCUGUAUGAAUGGCAUAACGAGGGCUUAACUGUCUCCUUUCCCCGGUCAAUGAAAUUGAUCUUCCCGUGCAGAAGCGGGAAUCCUAACAUAAGACGAGAAGACCCUAUGGAGCUUUAGACUUCAGAGCAGAUCAUGUAAUCUACCUCCAUAAAAUAAGUAAUAACUAUUGAAUACUGUUCCACCUGUCUUCGGUUGGGGCGACCACGGGGAAUAAAAAAUCCCCCAUGUGGACCAGGAGCACAUACUCCUACAACCAUGAGCCACAGCUCUAAUGCACAAAACAUUUGACCAUUAGAUCCGGCAAAGCCGAUUAACGGACCAAGUUACCCUAGGGAUAACAGCGCAAUCCCCUUUAAGAGUUCAUAUCGACAAGGGGGUUUACGACCUCGAUGUUGGAUCAAGACAUCCUAAUGGUGCAGCCGCUAUUAAGGGUUCGUUUGUUCAACGAUUAAAGUCUUACAUGAUCUGAGUUCAGACCGGCCGCCUGUUUAUCAAAAACAUGAUCUGAGUUCAGACCGG
This 640-nucleotide ribosomal RNA is filed under the name Paramugil parmatus (broad-mouthed mullet). RNAcentral's name for it is "partial large subunit ribosomal RNA". It matches the Rfam family "Bacterial large subunit ribosomal RNA", at positions 1811 to 2630 of the family's 2925-position model. Lineage: Eukaryota; Metazoa; Chordata; Actinopteri; Mugiliformes; Mugilidae. The record is from RNAcentral.